RNAcentral lists this long non-coding RNA (1193 nucleotides) under Ursus maritimus (polar bear). RNAcentral describes it as "lncRNA (ENSUMAG00000023663.1)". Lineage: Eukaryota; Metazoa; Chordata; Mammalia; Carnivora; Ursidae. The record is from RNAcentral.
AUGCCUUCCCUUUCACUGACCUUUACUCUGAAUCUGAUUCUGAUACUCACUGUACACCUGACCUUCCCAGUGAUCCUCACAAUUACCUCAAUUACCUCACAUGACCUUGACCUUAACCUAGAACUUUACUAUCACAUUCAUCCUAACCUUGUACUUGGCCUUAAAACUGACCUGACCAUCACCUUGACCCCGAUCUUAUUUCUCACCAUUUUCCUGACAAUGACCACCACAUACACCCUCAACUUCAUUCUUACCCUUACUAUGUCCCUGAUUCUGCAUUUGACCCUGAACUUCAAUCUCAGCUUGAUCUUUUACUUAUCCUACUCCUUUUCCUUGACCUUCCUCUUAAUCUUGGCCCUCACUUUUGCCCAGUUGCUAAUCCUGAAGCUGAAACUGGCCCUCAUCCUUAUCCUGACACUAACACUCUUGCUUUUACAAUGGCACAUUUUGACACUGACCCUUACCUUGACUCUCCCUUCAUUCUGACCUUCACACUCACUUUGACCUCAGCUUCUCCCUGACUAUGAUUCUUACUUUGAUCAUCAUCUGAACCUGAUCAUCACCCUGAUCUUGACCCUCACCCUGAGCUGACUUGACACUGACUCUCAACAUGACCCUUACCCUUAUCAUGAUUUGACCUUCACCCUGACCAUGAUGCUGCAUCAGACCCUCACACUGACCCUCAACUUUACCUUCUCCAUGACCCUCAUGUUCAAUCUGAUUCUGACCCUGACAUUGCGUUGAUACUGUCUCUGACCUCUUCACCCCUUGUACCUUACUUGACUGACAUACAACCCAACCCUGACUCUUACCAAUACACAGAUCUUGACACCAAUGCUGACCCUCACCUUGGACCUGAACUUUACCCAACCUUGACUCUGAUCAUGACUCUGUCUGACCGUGACUCUGAUGAUACCUUGACUCUUAUCUCACAUUGAUACUGAAUGACCCUGACCCUCACCUUGAUUCUCUCCUAAACAUUGACUCCACAUUUCACCUUGUCCUUGAUCUUAACACUCACCUUGUUCCUGAAACUGACAGUAAUCCUCACCCAUAAUUUGACCCUUACUUGGCCCUCACUCUGACCCUGAUUCUUACAGUGACACUAAAAGUAAACUUGAUUCUUGGGGUGCCUGGGUGGCUCAGUCAUUUAAGCGUCUGACUCUUGGUUUCGGCUCAGGUCAUGAUCUCAG